Long non-coding RNA from Juglans regia (Persian walnut), 587 nucleotides. RefSeq lists it as uncharacterized. The transcript is spliced from 2 exons. The record is from RefSeq and is a predicted model, not a curated record. Lineage: Eukaryota; Viridiplantae; Streptophyta; Magnoliopsida; Fagales; Juglandaceae.
UACAGGGCCUGGCCUUUUCCCACUCUUAAAAGAUUAUGCGAGGGACAGAGGAGAACCAGACCCAGCCACCCGCUACGUAUAAUAUCGCAGAAGAAGAGAAAUCGCUAAGAACGAGAAGUAGAAGAAAAUGAUCUACAGGAAAUGGAGUCUCCUUACUGGCCCAGUAGCAAUUCUCGGCGGCAUAGUCGGCGCUGUGGUCGUUGCCAACUUCGUCUUCUUCGAGCACGAUCCAUUCCUUAAGCCAGAGCAAAAGAAGCAAGAUGCACCACCAGCAACCAAGUAAAAGAAAAGAGGUGGACAGUUGGUGUUCAAUGUGAUUUAUGGCUGUAUCCGGGUCUGUGUUUUGCUUGAGUAUGUUUGUCAAGCACACUAACUUUUAGUCACAUAGUGGAUCUUGAAUUUUUAUUUGAAUAAUACUUCUGAGAUUCCGAAGCAAAAUUGACUAAUGAUAAAGUGCUAUAUUAGAAUUCGGUUACCUCAAUGAAGAAGUUAUUUCUGAAUCCAAAGAAUGACUUGUGUUGAAGUUGCCGUUUGAGCCCUAAAUUCUUAUUCGAAUAAUAUUGAAUUUGACUUGGUAGACUGGGAAU